RNAcentral lists this ribosomal RNA (470 nucleotides) under uncultured bacterium. Its description in RNAcentral is "bacterial SSU rRNA". It matches the Rfam family "Bacterial small subunit ribosomal RNA", at positions 28 to 507 of the family's 1533-position model. The record is from RNAcentral.
AAUGAACGUUGGCGGCGUGGAUUAGGCAUGCAAGUCGUGCGGCAGCGGGCCCUUCGGGGUGCCGGCGAGCGGCGAAAGGGAGAGUAACGCGUGGGUAACCUACCUUUAGAUCUGGGAUAGCAGCGGGAAACUGCUGGUAAUACCGGAUAAUGUCCCCGGACCAAAGGUGUGAUUCCGUCUAGAGAUGGGCCCGCGUCCUAUUAGCUUGUUGGUGGGGUAAUGGCCUACCAAGGCUGUGAUGGUACCGGGUGUGAGAGCAUGGCCCGGCUCACUGGGACUGAGACACUGCCCAGACACCUACGGGUGGCUGCAGUCGAGAAUCUUCGGCAAUGGGCGCAAGCCUGACCGAGCGACGCCGCGUGCGGGAUGAAGGCCUUCGGGUUGUAAACCGCUGUCAGAGGGGAAGAAAUGCUAUAGGGUUCUCUCUAUAGUUUGACUGAUCCUCAGAGGAAGCACGGGCUAAGUUCGUG